AAGACCAGCUUUAAACUACACAGGCUGACUUAUUCCAUACCGAAAAGGUCAAAAUGGAUUAAAAAGUGAUCCACGACUGCAGAAAAGCAGCACACUGGUUGGAAGAAAACCAAAGUCUCUUCAGCAGCAAGGUGGAUUUGCCUGACAUUUUGAUGAUGGGGAUGGAAAUGUGGCUGAAGCAGUCAAGCUAUUCAAACAAAUGUGUGAAGUAGAUGACUUCACCAUUGAUGAGCACGAGAGGGAGAUGGUUUUAGAACCUUUCAAGUUUGUUUUUCAAAAAAAGAUUGAAGACAUGUGGCAGUUUUUGGAGGAGCUGGCCGAUCGGCAGAAUCUUCUCCUGUACUUGCACACAGAAGCCGAGCCCAUGCAGAUCGGUCACACCAGACUCUCAUCAGAAGAAAGACAAAGGAGAUUCAAACAAAACCUCUGUUC
Long non-coding RNA from Cyprinodon tularosa, 432 nucleotides. RefSeq lists it as uncharacterized. The transcript has 3 exons. The record is from RefSeq and is a predicted model, not a curated record. Lineage: Eukaryota; Metazoa; Chordata; Actinopteri; Cyprinodontiformes; Cyprinodontidae.